UCGGGAAUUGUAGUUCAGGGUUCGCACAGCGUCGGUGACCCGGGAAGAGCCGGAGGUUAGAGGGCAGAUGCCAGUUGUUCUGUCUUCUUGCUGGUUGGUUGAUGUUCCUGUAUUCUCCUACACACAGCCUAUAAACAAAACCGACAUCCGUACCACACCUCUUCCGAUGCCUGUCAUCAAGGGUUUGAGAAAUCUAAGGGCACAUUUUAUUGUUUCGUGCUGUUCCACCGCGCCUCUUAAGUGUUUAGAAGCUCCUGAGGGUCUCCGCGACACUUUGGGGGUGGGGAGGCAAGUCCCCAAAGCUUCAGAACAGGAGCCUGGUCCAUUUUGUUGGGUCCUGCUUGUUACUGCAUAUACCGACUGCUCCAUGAAUAUUUGCUCUGAAUGAAUGCAAGCAGCAGGCCCUAGUGACCCUAAUCUACCUCGAUGGAUUAGUCUACUCUGGACAUUUCAUGUACAUAUGGUCAUACGACCAUACAAUAAUGCAGUUAUUAAAUGAAUGACUUCUAUCUACCAUUGCGUUUUCAAGGUACAACAUUCAUUAUUGUUGUAGCAUCUACUGUAUUCCUUUUUAUGAUAGAAUAUCAGUUCAUUGUAUAGACACCAUUAUUGCUUUAAUCUGUUGAUGAAUAUUUUGAGUUGUUUCCACUUUGGUUAUUUCCAAUAAUGCUGCAGCCUGUUGUGGUGGUACAAGCCAGUAAUCCUAGUACUUGGGAAGUAGAGGAAUG
Non-coding RNA from Cricetulus griseus (Chinese hamster), 728 nucleotides. NCBI's taxonomy places the organism in Eukaryota, Metazoa, Chordata, Mammalia, Rodentia, Cricetidae. The record is from RefSeq and is a predicted model, not a curated record.